Molecule: small RNA, 78 nt
Filed under: Gillisia mitskevichiae
Lineage: Bacteria; Pseudomonadati; Bacteroidota; Flavobacteriia; Flavobacteriales; Flavobacteriaceae
Description: Flavo-1 RNA
Rfam family: Flavo-1 RNA
Source: RNAcentral
UUUUCGCAUUAGGGAUUGCAGUGAUAUCCUUUUAAUUUAUUCGGAAAUUAAAAGAUUUAGCGCAAAGCCCGACAGCUU